AUAUAAUUUAUGCAGUGAGUUUAGUUUUGUGAUUGUGAGUUAAUAU
Molecule: non-coding RNA, 46 nt
Filed under: Trypanosoma brucei brucei
Lineage: Eukaryota; Euglenozoa; Kinetoplastea; Trypanosomatida; Trypanosomatidae
Source: RNAcentral